RNAcentral lists this signal recognition particle RNA (304 nucleotides) under Euroglyphus maynei. Its description in RNAcentral is "Metazoan signal recognition particle RNA". It matches the Rfam family "Metazoan signal recognition particle RNA". Rfam says of the family: The signal recognition particle (SRP) is a universally conserved ribonucleoprotein. It is involved in the co-translational targeting of proteins to membranes. The eukaryotic SRP consists of a 300-nucleotide 7S RNA and six proteins: SRPs 72, 68, 54, 19, 14, and 9. The record is from Rfam by way of RNAcentral. Lineage: Eukaryota; Metazoa; Arthropoda; Arachnida; Sarcoptiformes; Pyroglyphidae.
GCUGGAAAUGGUGGCGCAUUUCUGUAAUCCAAGUUUCUGGGAGGCUAAGAAUUGUGAAUCGACGAUCGGUGGGAGUACUGGUUAGCGUUGCGUCUAUGUAGAUCCGGCGUCCACACUAAGCACGGCGUCAAUAUGGGCAAUAUCGGGUAGCCGAUUGUUGUCCAGGUUGGCCAUAAUGAGGAGCGAAACGGCUCAGAGUGGAAACACCACAGGCAAAAGCUCCCGCGUCGUGCGGUAGUGGGAUCGCGCCAGUGAAUAGACUGCCACUAUUCAGCCCAUUUGAUACGUAGGGACCAUUUCUUUU